RNAcentral lists this ribosomal RNA (427 nucleotides) under uncultured bacterium. RNAcentral's name for it is "bacterial SSU rRNA". It matches the Rfam family "Bacterial small subunit ribosomal RNA", at positions 355 to 774 of the family's 1533-position model. The record is from RNAcentral.
UGGGGAAUUUUGGACAAUGGGCGCAAGCCUGAUCCAGCAAUGCCGCGUGCAGGAUGAAGGCCUUCGGGUUGUAAACUGCUUUUGUACGGAACGAAACGGUCUUUUCUAAUACAGAAGGCUAAUGACGGUACCGUAAGAAUAAGCACCGGCUAACUACGUGCCAGCAGCCGCGGUAAUACGAAGGGUGCAAACGUUGCUCGGAAUUAUUGGGCGUAAAGCGCACGUAGGCGGCUUGACAAGUCGGAUGUGAAAUCCCUCGGCUCAACCAAGGAAGUGCAUCCGAAACUGUCGAGCUAGAGUACGGCAGAGGGGGAUGGAAUUCCGCGUGUAGCAGUGAAAUGCGUAGAUAUGCGGAGGAACACCGAUGGCGAAGGCAAUCCCCUGGGCCUGUACUGACGCUCAUGCACGAAAGCGUGGGGAGCAAACA